RNAcentral lists this long non-coding RNA (2274 nucleotides) under Arabidopsis thaliana (thale cress). Its description in RNAcentral is "potential natural antisense gene, locus overlaps with AT1G01450 (AT1G01448)". Lineage: Eukaryota; Viridiplantae; Streptophyta; Magnoliopsida; Brassicales; Brassicaceae. The record is from RNAcentral.
UCAUAAUAACGUACUUAUCACCAAAAAAAAAAAAGAAAUCAUAGCUUCAUUCAUCUAAAACUAGAGUGGGGACUUUUUGGUCAUAUCACAAUCAAUGACAUAAUAAAAGCGUCGGAGGAUGGAUGUGACGGAGUCGGCGGUGGCGGAGAUAUUGAAAUUGACGAGAGACAGAGCCAAAGCUCCGAACCACGCCAUGUCUCUAGUCCCCGGCGGAAUCGCUGUUCCCCUUUUUUGUUAAGACUAGGAAAGCUCAGAGUCAGAGGCAUGUCCAGAGUUUGAUCGUCGUAUCCUUGGGCUUAUCAAUAUCAGCUGACUCUCAGAGUUUGCUCUCAUGCUUUGCCCACCACAAGGGCUUAGUGGCGGAUGCCUUGAUCGUCCUCUCGGAGUUGUCCCUGAACAGAAUCCAAAGGCUAGAAGCUCUUUUCAGAAGAUUUGAAACCUGCUUCUUGCUCAUACCAACAUCAUUUGAGGAGCAUGACAAUCUUCUUUCCUUGGCAUAUGACAACUGCUCAUCUGAUCCUGCCCCACCCUCAUCCUCGCUACACGAAGCCCAUUCACUUCCUGAUUCCGAUGGUUCCCGGAGAUUAUCCUUUUCACACGUUUUUGCCCGUUCCACAACCCUAUAUGCAAACAUUUGAAAAGGAACCUGUGAAACUUUGGUUAGCUCUGUAGAUUCCCAAGAAAGCUUCUGCAAUAGCUUUGUCUCGAUCUCGCAGUAAUCCACAGUAGGCGCAAUGGACGGGUCUUGUUGGCUACUACUGUAACAUUCCGGGUUCAAAGCUAGAAACCGUUUGAUAUACCGGAGAAUUCUGCUUAUCGAUGAGAAAGUUGGACGCUGAUUGGGAUCAGCAUGCCAGCAUCGUUUUGUCAGGUGGCUAUCUUCAAAUGGUACUUUACCUGUCAGAAGCUCAAAGCUAACCAUCCCAAAGCUAUACACGUCAGAUUUAUCACUAUACUUAAGGCUUCCUGCAGUUCCACUCUGUUCUUGCUCCUCUAGAACUUCUGGAGAAUACCAUAUGAAUGGAAAAUUCUCAUUCUGACUCGUCAAAGAAGCACUUUUACUAGAGAAUCCCUUGACAGAAUUCAACCCGAACCCAAAAAUCUUCCCAAGCAGAUACCCAUCUCCGGAUUGGUUACUUCUUGGUUUGACAAGAAUGUUUGAUGGAUUCAACUCUCCGUGGUAUAUUCUCUUCGAGUGAAGAUAUUCCAUACCCAAAGCUAUCUGAAGCAUCAGAUCAACCGCGACCGGGAGGGAGAGAGUGUUCUUCUUCCUAGGACCACAUACCUCUUUGAUGUGCAUUCCAAGGGUUUUCCUCAUCAGUUCCAUGACCAAGAAACACUCUUUCUUCUCCUCAUCCGUGAAUCCGCAGAGGUAAUAUACAAUGUUUGGGUGUGAAAGAGAUAGCAAUGGAGUAAUCUGAGGAAGCAAAGCAUCAAUAUCCCCAAAGAAAUGCCUAAGCGCAAAGCUCUCGCCUAACCAGAAGAGAAGAAGGAAAUAGCUUGGGGCUCUCAUUUCCAUCUCCCAAAUGCUUCAAAAGGAAAUCAGCCAUCUUCCGUUCAUGUUUGCUCGAACCGGACUGCUUUUUCUCCUGAAGCUCCUUGAUCAGAAUCCAACGGUCCUCUGUCCAAGCACUCUCGAACCGGUUGCAGAAAUCCUCGGUCACCAAAUACUCUCUCCCAAACUUCCAGCCUCGACGAUGAUCGGUAGACAAGAGAGCAAGUUAUGUAUGUGAAGCUCUGUGCAAUCUCUAUUGCUAUGCAACACAAUAGCCUUAGCCCAAAACCCAAGUUUAGGCUCUAAAGACAUUCUAACAUAAGCCUCUCCUUCUCUAACCACCCAUAGAAGCUCCCUUAAGGGCUGUUCUAGUAUCUUCCAUUUAGUGUUCUUCUCUUUGAAGCGUAGAUUGGAUCGCAUCGACACAGAAAUUGACUCGUAGGCUGCGGUGAAGAGGUCGAGUAAUAGAGAGCAUUGACGCUGGUUGAUUUGAAUGCUGUCCUUGAACACCAUUAACGCUCUUAUGCUUCCUAAUACCUCUCCUAUCUCUCGAAAUUGAUCCAUUUCACACCUCUUCAAUUGUACACAAGGCCUUCGGAAUUUGUAUUAUAAAUUAUUGUACUCAUAAGAAAUCGUAUCACAGGAAUGGAUUUGUGAAAGAAAUUCUCUACUUGAGAUGUACGGACACAUCAUACGGAUAAUAAGUUAUAUUUGGCAAUUGUAGCCUUUGUUUGUUUUAUUUACUGAAGUUUGUUUUUUAUAACAAACGCGCAUGAUAG